RNAcentral lists this small RNA (704 nucleotides) under Pongo abelii (Sumatran orangutan). RNAcentral's name for it is "processed transcript". Lineage: Eukaryota; Metazoa; Chordata; Mammalia; Primates; Hominidae. The record is from RNAcentral.
GGAAUCCAUAGCUGCUGAAUCUGAAGGGCCUUCAGAAGACUGGCUUCUCCAUGGUGGUUCAUGGACUAAGGCAAAGAUGAGCAGAGCCGUGGCCCUCUUCUUUGUUCUCUGCUGGAUCCAAGUUAUUGUUACUAUUUUUGAGAUAGGGUCUCCCUCUGUCACCCAGGGCUGGAGUGCAGUGGCAUAAUCACAGCUAAUUGCAGCCUCAACAUUCCAGGCCCAAGGAUCCUCCCUUUAGCCUCCCAGGUAGCUGGGACCACAGAGAUGGGGUUUCAUCAUGUUGGCCAGGCUGGUCAUGAACUCCUGACCUCAAUGGAUCCUCCUGCCUCAGCUUCCUGAGUAGCUGGGAUCACAGGUGCACACCACCACACCCAGCCUCCCAGAGCGCUGGGAUUGAAGACGUGAGCCACCGCACCUGGCCUGAAUUUUCCUCAGAUUCAAAAAAUCCUGAUGAAGGUUUGGCUAAAAUCUUUGGUGAGUUACCCCCAUCCUUGUGGAACCUCAGGCUGGAUUUGAAGAGUUGCAUGCGUGGUCCUCAUUGUCUCCCAGGUAACCUGUUCCCAAUGCUGUGAAGGGAAGGCAGGUGCUCUUCCUUGAGGCUAGAAUCUGUCUACGUGUCACAGUCUCAGGAAAUUAAGCAAAACAGAUGAUAAACACCUCAAAAGGACCCUACUGAGCAUGAGUGGAGCAGAGCAGGGCCAUGU